Non-coding RNA from Roseburia inulinivorans CAG:15, 193 nucleotides. The record is from Rfam. Lineage: Bacteria; Bacillati; Bacillota; Clostridia; Lachnospirales; Lachnospiraceae.
AACAGCCUGGGAUGUGCGACACCCUACUAUUUUGAACCUACAUUUACUUUAAACGGGAUUCCAACAUUUUCAAUUGGAUGCCAGGCCUCAGUAAUUCGCUACGGCGGCGGAGGAAGGCAAAAGCUUGAUUGAGGUUACCCACCUAGCGUUGGCUAGGAGUCAAAAUUGUAGGAAACGGCAUUUUGGGUAUUAC